GAAACUGGUGCUAAUACCGGAUAGUCUUUUGAUUAUGCGAGUAAUUGGGAGUAAAGGUGGCCUCUUCUUGAAAGCUACCGUAUAGGGAUGAGCCUGCGUACCAUUAGCUAGUAGGUGGGGUAACGGCCCACCUAGGCGACGAUGGUUAGCGGGUCUNAGAGGAUGAUCCGCCACACUGGAACUGGAACACGGACCAGACUCCUACGGGAGGCAGCAGUGAGGAAUAUUGCGCAAUGGGGGCAACCCUGACGCAGCGACGCCGCGUGAGUGAGGAAGGUUUUCGGAUCGUAAAGCUCUGUCAGAAGGGAAGAAGUGUUACGUAGUUAAUACCUGCGUAAUUUGACGGUACCUUCAGAGGAAGCACCGGCUAACUCCGUGCCAGCAGCCGCGGUAAUACGGAGGGUGCGAGCGUUGUUCGGAAUUACUGGGCGUGAAGGGCGCGUANGCGGCUGGAUAAGUCAGAUGUGAAAGUCCAUGGCUCAACUGUGGNAGUGCAUUUGAAACUGUCCGGCU
RNAcentral lists this ribosomal RNA (513 nucleotides) under uncultured bacterium. RNAcentral's name for it is "bacterial SSU rRNA". It matches the Rfam family "Bacterial small subunit ribosomal RNA", at positions 153 to 642 of the family's 1533-position model. The record is from RNAcentral.